AUUUUAAGAGAGGGGAAAAAGACAGAGAGCUAGUGAGAAAGAGAAAGAGAGAUGGGAGGUAUUUAGUUGAGGUAGAAGAGAGAAUAGAAGAGGUAGAAGAUGUGGUUAUAUUAUUCCCACGAAGAUGAUUAAGUGUUUGUUAAUGGCGGCAACUUUAAUAAUCAUAGUGUCGGUGAUGUUGGAGAGGAGUUGAUCAAUCUAUCAAAUCAAGUUGCGACUGAAAAAGUAUAAUUUGCAGCGAGACAUCGUCUUAAUGGAUGUUUUAAGGUAUGAUUGAGAGGGAAUCAGCUCCGGUUCAAAACUACAAAGUUGUAGAGGAGACUGCCAUCUUUCCAAAGAGCCAUUAAAUGCCUCUUUUGGAUUGGAUUUUAGGAAUAUAGAGAUCUCCAAAGUUAGGUGUUUAUGCUGUUUACUGAUGUUGCGACUGAAAUAUUGAAGUCAGUCGCGAGUAACCAUUUUCAGGUGUACAACAAGUGUUGGAGUGCAUAAAUUAAAGGUAUGUAGGGUUUUGUUAGAAUCAUAUGCUAGAAUGAUGGAGGAAAUUUGUUGUCUUUGGCAUCUCAGCUAUAGAUCAUUGGUGUUGUUUGUCCAGGUAUGUAUGGCAUGCAUUCCGUCCCAUUACAUCGUUCUUUAAAGACUUAAGGGCAGAGCAGUCCAAAACAAUGAUCUGGGAAGUUGGUGUAGAUAUGAAGGUGCUAAUGAUGCCAACAAGGAACCUGAUGAAGUUGGUGAAGGUACGAAGUUGCUUAUUCAUAGAGCUGGGGUCAAAUUUUGUAGUCGUUACAUGAUUGGAAACUUAGCAACUAGUACCACGUGUAUUUGUAUACAAUCUAUAAGUUAGUGAAGGUACAAACUUUAUAUGUAUGCAAUCUAUAAGCUAAACAAAUUAUGAUUGUAGCAAUUCACUUUAACAUUCAUCAACGAUAUAUUUGUAUGGCGUUUGGAUGUCAA
Papaver somniferum (opium poppy) is the source of this 951-nucleotide long non-coding RNA. RefSeq lists it as uncharacterized. The transcript is spliced from 4 exons. Lineage: Eukaryota; Viridiplantae; Streptophyta; Magnoliopsida; Ranunculales; Papaveraceae. The record is from RefSeq and is a predicted model, not a curated record.